This 489-nucleotide ribosomal RNA is filed under the name uncultured bacterium. Its description in RNAcentral is "partial 16S ribosomal RNA". It matches the Rfam family "Bacterial small subunit ribosomal RNA", at positions 899 to 1397 of the family's 1533-position model. The record is from RNAcentral.
ACUCAAAUGAAUUGACGGGGACUUGCACAAGCGGUGGAUUAUGCGGCUUAAUUCGUCGACAAACGAAGAACCUUACCAAGAUUAGAAAUCCAGCUGCAUCCGACCUGAAAGGGACGGAGCCUUCGAGGGUGCUGGACAGGUGAUGCAUGGUCGUCGUCAGUUCGUGGUUUGAACUGUUCCCUUCAGUGGGGUAACGAACGCAACCCCCGUUGUCUGUUGCCUAUAUGGCCAGGCGAGACUGCUCCCUCACGGGAGAGGAAGGUGGGGAUGACGCCAGAUCAGCAUGUCCCUCUGAUAUCUUGGGCUGCACGCAUAAUACAAUGGUCGGUACAACGGGUAGCAAUGCCGCAAGGCGGAGCCAAUCCUUAUAAAACCGACCCCAGUACGGAUUGAGGUCUGCAACCGACCUCAUGAAGCCGGAAUCGCUAGUAAUCCCGGGUCAGCCAAACCGGGGUGAAUACGUUCUCAAGUCUUGUACACACCGCCCGU